Mugil cephalus (flathead mullet) is the source of this 1966-nucleotide long non-coding RNA. RefSeq lists it as uncharacterized. NCBI's taxonomy places the organism in Eukaryota, Metazoa, Chordata, Actinopteri, Mugiliformes, Mugilidae. The transcript has 2 exons. The record is from RefSeq and is a predicted model, not a curated record.
AAUAAGGGCAAAGAUCAGUUUCUGCCUUGUAAUUAACGUGGCAAUAAAACAGGAGCAAACGAGCACAGAAGGACAUUUGGAUUUCUAGCCAGCCAGAAACUGUUUCUACAUAAGACAAAUAUUUCAAAAUAUUUAUUGUAAAUCCAGAUCCAUUCUGUUGAGAGCAGAGCCCCAACACCGAACUCCGUUAAAGAAUCUGAUAAUUUUUAAGUGUGUCACUUCUCGUGUGUCAGUGAAACAUGAUGUUUAAGGCACAAGCACACACACACACACACACACACACAUCUUUCAGAAAAUGGAAAACUGAUUUGGUCGAAAUGACAGCAUUUAUAGGUGGUUUACCCGCGAAUACCAAGUGUUAGUUUCGCUCGCUAUUAAUGUAAGUUGAUAUUUUAUUGCAAUAAUGGCAACAAUGUCGAAAGAGACUCUUUGAUUUCUGCAGAUUUGAUGUACUCUUGGUGAUUCGUAAAAACAAAUCCUGAGUGUAACAUCAUGGAGCGCUUGGAAAAGCAGAACAUAGAAAACGAUAUAUAUAUAUAUAUAUAUAUAUAUAUAUAGAUUUGUUUUGUAAUUUGGCUCGCUCAGUUUCAUUUCACACGCGUUGCCAAACACCCUUGCAAAAUCUCUUAAGUUAAUUCCUCUUUGCUCACUGACGAAUGUACUCACGGGCGCAUAUCGCAGUUUUUGAAGCACGUGUCGACGUGAGUUAAACACUGAAUUCGGCGAGGACCAUUUUGACAAAGCAUUGCCUGUUGUUGACGGCCGCUGAUGAGCAGAGUGUCCAGUCCAGACUCAGUAUCAGAGUAUGACCCCCAGCAGCAGCUCGAUGGAGCCGGACAUGGAUUAUGCCAACGCCAGAAAUAAGCUUCAAAUAAUAAAUAGCUGAUGACAACACAUUCACAGAACGUGUCAGGAACUGGUGAAAUAGCAGGUCGUCGGUCCACAUACCUUUAAUGUCUACUUUGAAUUCCCCUUGUUGAUGAAAACAAACCAGCAGUCAUUUUGCUCUCCCCUGCAUCCCGGAAGUGACGUCCCUCGAUGUCUUAAAAUGAUUUUUCUUUAGUUGGUUAAUUACUUCCUUUUGGGUAGAUAUUUAAAUAACAUCACAUGCAGUUUUUUUCUGUAUUUACUUCUCGGGAUAGCAGCAUAAUUGAAAGAAAAUAUAAUUCUUAAACAAAAAGGUCUCCAGAUUAACAGGCAUAUGAUGUCAUUAAAUGCUGCUGAUGGUGGUCAUAAUUUGUGGUGUAUUGUUUCACGUGUAGUUUCCCUGAUGCUCUGCAGAUGUUGUUUAGUAUGACAGAGCUUUUUCAAGGUCGGCACUUUAUUUUAAAGCCACGGCAGGAAAAGGUCAUGUGUAAUUAAUAACAUUAGUCAUAGGUGUGUUCAUGAUGGUUGAGGUUAAGCACCCUGGUGUUGAGCACUAGAUGUGACACAUAAAAGAAAAAGACACCGCUUUUACAGCAUGUUUUAAAGCAAUACAAUUCUUUCAGAUUGUGACUUCUUUCUUUAAUUCACAACAUUAUAAAUGACUGCUUUCCGUUCACAGUGCUAGAUUCAUGCAUUCAGAUAUGCAAAUGAUGACAAGUGGACGGUGGUUGGCUACAUUUUCUUCACUUUGCAGUGACAAAGUCACUUUGCUUGUGUGAUGUUUCAACCACUUUUAACUGCUUUUACCUCUACUGACAUUUAUUAAUGUAUUAAUUUCAACGUCUAUCAGAUGCAUGCCCCUUUCGCUCUUUAUGUAUUUCAUCUUUAAUUAUGUGUUACUUUUUGUUAUCUGUUAUUUCUUCACUGUUAGCUAUUCACCAGUUCAUUUGAUGCAUUUACUUAAUUUUUUUUGAACAUAUUCUGCAUUACUUUGAGUCAAACUGUAUAUUGCAACCAUUUGUUUCAAUUUGUCAUCUGUCUUCUGUAGUUUUCCCUCACCAUCUUCACCAUCAAGUAAAAAGCUGCAAGUUUGAUUGCA